UUACAGAGCUCUUCGCCCUCCACCUCUGUGUGAAUCAUUUCAACUCCUAAUGCGAGUCUUAAAAGUAAUACUCAUCUGGUGCUGUUUCUUUAAUCAAAACACAUUUCCGACUGGGAGAACUGGACACAGACAGGACCACAGAAGACUGGAGACGUCUCGCUUCUUUUACUUUCAGUUGCUCUUGAUAAUUGACUUCAGGGAGUGAAUCAAAGUGGAUUCAGCGUCUCAGGCCCACGCGCGCACCGGAAACGGCUAAAGAUGACCUUAAAGUCAACGUGAAAUCAAAAUGCAUUCGUUUUAUGGCCGUCCGAGAUGUCCGAGAUUGAUUCAGACUUGGAGAAAUGUAGCAUUGCAUCAGUGUCUCGGUAAUGGAUGUGAAUGGGUGCCGUCAGAUUGAGCGGCCAGACAGCUGAUAAAAACGUCUCAAUAAUCCACAGUUAACAUCUGGAGAAGACAUCCAGCAUAAAGACUGUUUUAAGUCCUUAAUCCGUAAAAAAUCCAGCCGUGUUUUGGCUUGACCUCUGCAGAUUUCUCUCCUGAUUCAGAAGAGACGACUUUUUCUCCAGAUGUUAACUGAUGGACCGGAGUGCUGUGGAUCACUGCGCUUAUUUAUCAGCUGUUUGGACUGUCUUUCUGACGGCACCCAUUCACUGCAGAGCAUCCGUUGAUGAGACACGUUUCUCCGAACCAAACCAAACUUGGAUGAUCAUUUUGUGCGAACUAUUCCUUGAAUGCAGUUUACCUGUGCGUGAAUAUUUGCUGUACUUUAUACCAAAGAAUACGCAACGGCUUCCCUCACCUCUGAAAUGACUUCCGGCCGGAAAUGAUACGAUAUAAAGUGUUUAAAGGACUACCGGGGGGAACCUGAGAUUCGAUGUUGACUUUAAGCUCAGCGUGAACUUUCGCUCACUUGGAUCUUCAGACUCGAGCAAAGGCGGAUCGGAUCCAAACCAAAGACACGUUUUGCGAAGAUUACGCCAAACGCAAACUCGAUAUUAAAAGUAGCAAAACUGCGUCGGUGCAACUUAUUUCGAGUGAUAUACGAGUUAACGGCUUCAACGCAUUUUGUACAUCGAACCCCGACUGUUUUUGGCCGAGGACACAUCUGGUAUUUCGGCCCAUCUCCAUCUCGGAGCAUUGAGGAAAAGGGAAGGUUUUCUUCUCCGCUCUCUGAGUUUAGUUAAGCGCCAGCUGUCUUUUAUUGGCCCGGCCGAUCCCGGAGCCAAAUCCAGACCUGCGUUUCAAAAGAGAGCUGCUACGGAUGGCGUGUUUUAUGCUUUAUGAGUUAUGUAAUUACUUAACUCCGCCCUCAGCUUUUCCAUUAGCCAGAUUCUGCACAGUCUUAAAGAGUAUUAGAUGCUGGAACGCUAAUCUACUCAAAGGUUCAACCGCGUAAAAACUGACUCCAGCAACUGUAAUCCACUUUUGAAUUUAUGAGGUCUGACUCUGGAAAAUCAUCCUUUAUAAGCUCUGUUUGUACUUCAACUCAUCUGUCUUGUUGCAUAUUUUAGAUGGUGGAAACUCUGCGCUUCUGAGCUUGUCUUCUGCCGAUCAAACAACAGCCAAAGUUUAGUUUUUGCUCGCUCUGAAGAGGUUUUAUGCUGUCCGGCGGCGUACUGAGCUUGACGCGCUGGUGGUUUUUAAAAGUGUGUUCUGUACAAGUUAGGAUCGGUUGGCAGCAUUUGUGGCGUAGCGUUUGAUUAGCGCUUAGCGCUUAGCGAUAUCUGAUUACAGCUUACAGCGAGAAGUGAAUGGGGGCCGUUUUUAAAAAGUUCAUUGUUUUAUACAAGCAUUUUUAUCGUUAAAAGGUGCUAAGUUAGAGCGGUAUGGCUGGAUAAAUCACUCACAGAUAGAGAGACGGUUAUGAUAUUCUGGAGAAACACAAAAGACACAUUGAGCGGCAGCUGUAUUAUAAAUGUAUGGAAGCUUAUUUCCACCGCAAGGAUGUUAUUCAGGACAAAAAACUAAAUACCAAUCAUUUAAUAACAUUGUUAUAGUUAUUUAUUGUAAUAAUAAUGUUGAAAAUGUCAAAAAGAGAGGAAACUAUUGUCGAAAUUAUGAAAUGAAAGUGAAAUUAAGAGAUACUGAGUCGUAGUUAUGAGGCAGAAAAAUAAAUAAAUCACGACAAGCUGAAAUUAAGAUAACGAUAUAAAAUUUAAAAUGAUAACUCUAAGAGGUAAGAGUUUUUUUUUUUUUACAAAAUUGGCAAAAUUUACUUCCAUCAUAAGUCCCUGGAGAAAAAGAAGUGGUAUCAUUUUUAGCAAUUUGGAAAUGGGCUCAUUCUCCAACUCCCCCAGAGAAAAUAAGUUGAGUUUUACCGUUUUUAAUCCGUUCAGACGAUCUCCGGGUUUAGUGAUAGCACUUUUAGCGUAGCUUAGCAUAGAUCAUUGAAUCCAAUUAGACCAUUAGCAUCGUGUUCAAAAAUGACCAAAGAGUUUUGUUAUUUAUUAACUUGGAGAAUAAGUCUAUUUUCAAAACAAGAUGGAGUGUUUCUAUAUAUAUAUAUAUAUAUAUAUAUAUAUAUAUAUAUAUAUAUAUAUAUAUAUAUAUACAGACAGAGAGAGGGAGAGAGUUUUUUUUAAUAAAAGGGACAGACACAUUGAAAUGGUCAACAUUGUGAUAUACUACAUUAUAAUAGUGAGAUAAAAAAGUAUGUAAAAUAAUCAGAAUUAUGAGACACUAAGUAGAAAUCAUGUUAAAAAAAUAAAUAAAAGUAAGUGAUAUCAUUGCUCAUGAGAUAAAAAGUCAAAGUAUACUUCUUUUUUUUUAAGAAAAUGGACAGAGCCAUUGAAAAAGCUUUCUGUGCUAAAGGACACUACGCCACAUGUCUGUCGACUGACCUUGACUCGUACUCUGAAUAUCCCUUCAAUAGUAGUAACACCAUAUAAAUACAGAUUAUCCUCCUUAGAGAACAAAAAAGUCUCAAAGAAACUUGGAAAACCGAGGAGAACAAUAACACCUCACACCGAGUGCAGCUGAGCGACAGAAACGGGAAGCUGCGCAGUUUCUUCAAUUAUUGAGCAGUUCAGAGGACAGAGCGGAGCGCGGGACCGGCCCCGAACCUGUGCGAGUGUGCGAGGAAUGCACUGUAUCUACAGCAAAGCCACAUUCGGGCCAAAAAUACUCUCGGCGGCGGGGCGUGUGCGAUCCAGCUCGCUCCCAAACCACAAAUACCUUGGCCUGAUUCACGCUUUUGAUUGUAAACAGGAGCGUGCGCCGGAGAAACAAGCCGUCUUUAUAAGCCUCCUCGACUAUUAAUGUUUACAUUUUUGAACGCUUUAGAUCGCAUGCUCCUUUUUGACUUUGUAACGGUCUCAUUGUCUUUGUGGGAAUAUUAAAUGAACGGAACCGA
Puntigrus tetrazona (Sumatra barb) is the source of this 3352-nucleotide long non-coding RNA. RefSeq lists it as uncharacterized. The transcript has 2 exons. The record is from RefSeq and is a predicted model, not a curated record. NCBI's taxonomy places the organism in Eukaryota, Metazoa, Chordata, Actinopteri, Cypriniformes, Cyprinidae.